Molecule: unclassified non-coding RNA, 240 nt
Filed under: soil metagenome
Description: partial contains 5.8S ribosomal RNA, internal transcribed spacer 2, and large subunit ribosomal RNA
Source: RNAcentral
AACUGAUACUACCUGCGGGAACCUGCGGAGGGAUCAUUACCGAAUCGUCGACAGCAGUUGUUGCUGGUCCUUGUAAGGGGACACGUGCACGCUCUGUUUACAUAUCCACUCACACCUGUGCACUCGCUGUAGUCCUAUGGUCUGGGAGACCCCGUCUUCCUUCUGUAGGCCUGCUCUUUUACAUACACGCUGUAACAAAGUCUCAUGGAAUGCGGUUCUGCGUUUAACGCGAUAUACAGU